Molecule: long non-coding RNA, 293 nt
Filed under: Coccomyxa subellipsoidea
Lineage: Eukaryota; Viridiplantae; Chlorophyta; Trebouxiophyceae; Coccomyxaceae
Description: long non-coding RNA (CSUB_LNC000369)
Source: RNAcentral
CUGGCGCUUGUCGAUUUGGAAUGCACAAUUCUCUCCGGUUGCAUAAAUUUGGUGGUCUUCCACUCCAAAGACCACUGAUGGAAUUUCAAGAGCCCCGCUCUCAGCAAAGUUGAUACGCUGUGCCACUUCAUAUGUUCGCAGAUCGUGGAUGGCGAGAUCCCCGUCCUGCAGAAUAAGUGUGAGAUGUAGACACAGCUGAAGUCCAGUACUGUUUCCUAGUAACAGUGGGAAAGGGUGACGUUCACAGUAACGAAAUACCUCUGAUCCUGAAGCCAAUAUGGAUUGAGAUUGUU